GACGAACGCUGGCGGCGUGCUUAACACAUGCAAGUCGAACGAUGAAGCCUAGCUUGCUAGGUGGAUUAGUGGCGAACGGGUGAGUAAUACGUGAGUAACCUACCUUUAACUCUGGGAUAAGCCUGGGAAACUGGGUCUAAUACCGGAUACGACCAAUCUCCGCAUGGGGUGUUGGUGGAAAGCGUUAUGUAGUGGUUAUAGAUGGGCUCACGGCCUAUCAGCUUGUUGGUGAGGUAACGGCUCACCAAGGCGACGACGGGUAGCCGGCCUGAGAGGGUGACCGGCCACACUGGGACUGAGACACGGCCCAGACUCCUACGGGAGGCAGCAGUGGGGAAUAUUGCACAAUGGGCGCAAGCCUGAUGCAGCGACGCCGCGUGAGGGAUGACGGCCUUCGGGUUGUAAACCUCUGUUAGCAGGGAAGAAGAGAAAUUGACGGUACCUGCAGAGAAAGCGCCGGCUAACUACGUGCCAGCAGCCGCGGUAAUACGUAGGGCGCGAGCGUUGUCCGGAAUUAUUGGGCGUAAAGAGCUUGUAGGCGGUUUGUCGCGUCUGCUGUGAAGGCCGGGGCUUAACCCCGUGUAUUGCAGUGGGUACGGGCAGACUAGAGUGCAGUAGGGGAGACUGGAAUUCCUGGUGUAGCGGUGGAAUGCGCAGAUAUCAGGAGGAACACCGAUGGCGAAGGCAGGUCUCUGGGCUGUAACUGACGCUGAGAAGCGAAAGCAUGGGGAGCGAACAGGAUUAGAUACCCUGGUAGUCCGUGCCGUAAACGUUGGGCACUAGGUGUGGGGGACAUUCCACGUUUUCCGCGCCGUAGCUAACGCAUUAAGUGCCCCGCCUGGGGAGUACGGCCGCAAGGCUAAAACUCAAAGAAAUUGACGGGGGCCCGCACAAGCGGCGGAGCAUGCGGAUUAAUUCGAUGCAACGCGAAGAACCUUACCAAGGCUUGACAUAUACUGGACCGCAUCAGAGAUGGUGUUUCCCUUCGGGGCUGGUAUACAGGUGGUGCAUGGUUGUCGUCAGCUCGUGUCGUGAGAUGUUGGGUUAAGUCCCGCAACGAGCGCAACCCUCGUUCUAUGUUGCCAGCACGUUAUGGUGGGGACUCAUAGGAGACUGCCGGGGUCAACUCGGAGGAAGGUGGGGAUGACGUCAAAUCAUCAUGCCCCUUAUGUCUUGGGCUUCACGCAUGCUACAAUGGCCGGUACAGAGGGUUGCGAUACUGUGAGGUGGAGCUAAUCCCUAAAAGCCGGUCUCAGUUCGGAUUGGGGUCUGCAACUCGACCCCAUGAAGUCGGAGUCGCUAGUAAUCGCAGAUCAGCAACGCUGCGGUGAAUACGUUCCCGGGCCU
Molecule: ribosomal RNA, 1347 nt
Filed under: uncultured bacterium
Lineage: Bacteria
Description: bacterial SSU rRNA
Rfam family: Bacterial small subunit ribosomal RNA
Source: RNAcentral